GAUGAAGAACGUAGCGAAAUGCGAUACUUGGUGUGAAUUGCAGAAUCCCGUGAACCAUCGAGUCUUUGAACGCAAGUUGCGCCCGAAGCCAUCAGGUUGAGGGCACGUCUGCCUGGGCGUCACAUAUCGUUGCUCGAUGCCUAUCGCAUUGCGAUAGGACUUAGGGCGAAUGAUGGCUUCCCGUGAGCGUUGUUGCCUCGCGGUUGGUUGAAAAUCGAGUCCUUGGUAGGGUGUGCCAUGAUAGAUGGUGGUCGAGUUAGCACGAGACCGAUCUUGUGCAUGCUCCCCAAAAUAUGGCCUCUGUGACCCACACGCGUCUUUUGACGCUCAUGACGAGACCUCAGGUCAGGCGGGGCUACCCGCUGAAUUUAAGCAUAUCAAUAAGCGGAGGA
RNAcentral lists this unclassified non-coding RNA (392 nucleotides) under soil metagenome. RNAcentral describes it as "partial contains 5.8S ribosomal RNA, internal transcribed spacer 2, and large subunit ribosomal RNA". The stretch from base 1 to 122 matches the Rfam family "5.8S ribosomal RNA", at positions 35 to 154 of the family's 154-position model. The record is from RNAcentral.